Molecule: ribosomal RNA, 434 nt
Filed under: uncultured Lachnospiraceae bacterium
Lineage: Bacteria; Bacillati; Bacillota; Clostridia; Lachnospirales; Lachnospiraceae
Description: partial 16S ribosomal RNA
Rfam family: Bacterial small subunit ribosomal RNA
Source: RNAcentral
ACGGAAGGCAGCAGUGGGGGAUAUUGCACAAUGGGGGAAACCCUGAUGCAGCGACGCCGCGUGAGUGAAGAAGUCUUUCGGUAUGUAAAGCUCUAUCAGCAGGAAAGCUAAUGACGGUACCUGACUAAGAAGCACCGGCUAAAUACGUGCCAGCAGCCGCGGUAAUACGUCUGGUGCAAGCGUUAUCCGGAGUUACUGGGUGUAAAGGGAGCGUAGACGGCAUGGCAAGCCAGAUGUGAAAGGCAGGGGCUCAACUCCGGGACUGCAUUUGGAACUGUCAAGCUAGAGUAUCGGAGAGGUAAGUGGAAUUCCUAGUGUAGCGGUGAAAUGCGUAGAUAUUAGGAGGAACACCAGUGGCGAAGGCGGCUUGCUGGACGAUAACUGACGUUGAGGCUCGAAAGCGUGGGGAGCAAACAGGAUUAGAUACCCUGGUA